GACGAACGCUGGCGGCGUGCUUAACACAUGCAAGUCGAGCGGUAAGGCCCUUUCGGGGGUACACGAGCGGCGAACGGGUGAGUAACACGUGGGUGACCUGCCCUUAGCUCUGGGAUAAGCCUGGGAAACUGGGUCUAAUACCGGAUAUGACUCCAUGACGCAUGUUGUGGGGUGGAAAGCCUUGUGCGGCUAGGGAUGGGCCCGCGGCCUAUCAGCUUGUUGGUGGGGUGAUGGCCACCAAGGCGACGACGGGUAGCCGGCCUGAGAGGGCGACCAGCCACACUGGGGACUGAGACACGGCCCAGACUCCUACGGGAGGCAGCAGUGGGGAAUCUUGCGCAAUGGGCGAAAGCCUGACGCAGCGACGCCGCGUGGAGGAUGACG
This 384-nucleotide ribosomal RNA is filed under the name uncultured bacterium. RNAcentral describes it as "bacterial SSU rRNA". It matches the Rfam family "Bacterial small subunit ribosomal RNA", at positions 28 to 413 of the family's 1533-position model. The record is from RNAcentral.